UACGGGGGGGGCAAGCGUUGUUCGGAAUUACUGGGCGUAAAGGGCUCGUAGGCGGCCAUCUAAGUCAGACGUGAAAUCCCUCGGCUUAACCGGGGAACUGCGUCUGAUACUGGAUGGCUUGAGUUCGGGAGAGGGAUGCGGAAUUCCAGGUGUAGCGGUGAAAUGCGUAGAUAUCUGGAGGAACACCGGUGGCGAAGGCGGCAUCCUGGACCGACACUGACGCUGAGGAGCGAAAGCCAGGGGAGCAAACGGG
RNAcentral lists this ribosomal RNA (253 nucleotides) under uncultured bacterium. RNAcentral describes it as "partial 16S ribosomal RNA". It matches the Rfam family "Bacterial small subunit ribosomal RNA", at positions 524 to 776 of the family's 1533-position model. The record is from RNAcentral.